Molecule: ribosomal RNA, 426 nt
Filed under: uncultured archaeon
Lineage: Archaea
Description: bacterial SSU rRNA
Rfam family: Archaeal small subunit ribosomal RNA
Source: RNAcentral
UACCAGCCCCCUGAGUGGUAAGGACGAUUAUUUGGCUUAAAGCGUCCGUAGCCGGCUUAGUGAGUCUCUUGUUAAAUCCAAUGAUUCGAUCAUUGAACUGCAAGAGAUACUACUAUGCUAGAGGACGGGAGAGGUCGACGGUAGUCCAAGGGUAGGGGUGAAAUCCUAUAAUCCUUGGAGGACCACCAGUGGCGAAGGCGGUCGACUAGAACGUGCCUGACGGUGAGGGACGAAAGCUGGGGGAGCGAACCGGAUUAGAUACCCGGGUAGUCCCAGCUGUAAACGAUGCGGGCUAGGUGUAGGGGCAGCUACGAGCUGCUCCUGUGCCGCAGAGAAAUUGUUAAGCCCGCCGCCUGGGGAUACGAUCGCAAGAUUGAAACUUAAAGGAAUUGGCGGGGAGCACCACAAGGGUGAAGGCUGCGGUUU